This is a non-coding RNA of Cinara cedri, 305 nucleotides long. The record is from the annotation of a GenBank genome assembly. Lineage: Eukaryota; Metazoa; Arthropoda; Insecta; Hemiptera; Aphididae.
GGUGGCGGCGGCGGCGGCACUGUGAGCGGGGAAAAUGGAAAAGUCACUGGCACACGCAUACGUCGGGUAGUCGGUGACUUCGGUUCGAAUUGCAUGUACUCGGGAACGAACGCGAACUAACGCGGAAAAAAAAAAAAAAAGACCGCCGAAAGAAUGCGGCGGCGGUACAUACACACGAUCGGACGGCGCACUGAAACGACGCACUUGCGCGGGCACUGCGAGACGACUCGUAGCGCGAGAAAAAUAACAGGUACUUCUUUCAGCCUCUGCCGGUACUGGUUUCGUUGCGGCGGCGCGCUGACGAG